GACGAACGCUGGCGGCACGCCUAACACAUGCAAGUCGAACGGACUUAAAAGAGCUUGCUUUUUUAAGUUAGUGGCGGACGGGUGAGUAACACGUGAGCAACCUGCCUCUGAGAGGGGGAUAGCUUCUGGAAACGGAUGGUAAUACCCCAUAAAAUAUAAAUAUCGCAUGAUAGAUAUAUCAAAGAAAUUCGCUCAGGGAUGGGCUCGCGUCUGAUUAGGUAGUUGGUGAGGUAACGGCUCACCAAGUCGACGAUCAGUAGCCGGACUGAGAGGUUGAACGGCCACAUUGGGACUGAGACACGGCCCAGACUCCUACGGGAGGCAGCAGUGGGGAAUAUUGCACAAUGGAGGGAACUCUGAUGCAGCGAUGCCGCGUGGAGGAAGAAGGUCUUCGGAUUGUAAACUCCUUUUAUCAGGGACGAUAAUGACGGUACCUGAAGAAAAAGCUCCGGCUAACUACGUG
RNAcentral lists this ribosomal RNA (463 nucleotides) under uncultured bacterium. Its description in RNAcentral is "partial 16S ribosomal RNA". It matches the Rfam family "Bacterial small subunit ribosomal RNA", at positions 28 to 507 of the family's 1533-position model. The record is from RNAcentral.